GCCAGUGUGGUGUAAUGGUUUGAAUGUUGGACUAUGACUCUGGAGACUAGGGUUCAAAUCCCUUCUCAGCCA
Molecule: non-coding RNA, 72 nt
Organism: Phrynosoma platyrhinos (Desert horned lizard)
Lineage: Eukaryota; Metazoa; Chordata; Lepidosauria; Squamata; Phrynosomatidae
Source: the annotation of a GenBank genome assembly